This 460-nucleotide ribosomal RNA is filed under the name uncultured bacterium. Its description in RNAcentral is "partial 16S ribosomal RNA". It matches the Rfam family "Bacterial small subunit ribosomal RNA", at positions 338 to 795 of the family's 1533-position model. The record is from RNAcentral.
CCUACGGGGGGCAGCAGUGAGGAAUAUUGGUCAAUGGCCGUAAGGCUGAACCAGCCAAGUAGCGUGAGGGAAGACUGCCCUAUGGGUUGUAAACCUCUUUUAUGCGGGGAUAAAGGUGUCCACGUGUGGAUGUUUGCAGGUACCGCAUGAAUAAGGACCGGCUAAUUCCGUGCCAGCAGCCGCGGUAAUACGGAAGGUCCGGGCGUUAUCCGGAUUUAUUGGGUUUAAAGGGAGCGUAGGCCGGUAUUUAAGCGUGCCGUUAAAUUUUGUGGCUCAACCAUGAGAGUGCGGCGCGAACUGGAGACCUUGAGUGCGCGGAAGGCAGGCGGAAUUCGUGGUGUAGCGGUGAAAUGCUUAGAUAUCACGAAGAACCCCGAUUGCGAAGGCAGCAUGCCGCAGCGUUACUGACGCUGAAGCUCGAAAGCGCGGGUAUCGAACAGGAUUAGAUACCCGAGUAGUC